RNAcentral lists this ribosomal RNA (367 nucleotides) under uncultured organism. Its description in RNAcentral is "bacterial LSU rRNA". It matches the Rfam family "Bacterial large subunit ribosomal RNA", at positions 2099 to 2465 of the family's 2925-position model. The record is from RNAcentral.
CUUUACUGUAGCCUGGAAUUGGGUUCGGGCUUUGCUUGCGCAGUAUAGGUGGGAGGCGUUGAAAAUCUUCUUGCGGGAGGAUUGGAGCCAUCAGUGAGAUACCACUCUUGUAAUGUUAGAUUUCUAACUUUGUAUCAUUAUCUGGUCAAAGAACAGUUUCAGGCGGGCAGUUUGACUGGGGCGGUCGCCUCCCAAACGGUAACGGAGGCGCACAAAGGUUUCCUCUGAACGGGUAGAAAUCGUAUCUAGAGUGUAAAGGCAUAAGGAAGCUUGACUGUGAGACUUACAAGUCGAGCAGGGACGAAAGUCGGUCUUAGUGAUCUGACGGUGCUGAGUGGGAAGGCCGUCACUCAACGGAUAAAAGUUA